This 198-nucleotide non-coding RNA is filed under the name Lutispora thermophila. Its description in RNAcentral is "T-box sequence". It matches the Rfam family "T-box leader". From Rfam's summary of the family: Uncharged tRNA acts as the effector for transcription antitermination of genes in the T-box leader family. T-boxes are found upstream of many aminoacyl-tRNA synthetase genes and some amino acid biosynthetic genes usually in Gram-positive bacteria. Lineage: Bacteria; Bacillati; Bacillota; Clostridia; Lutisporales; Lutisporaceae. The record is from RNAcentral.
GGAAAUGCAUUGAUGGGAAAAAGUAGAUGCGACUGUCCUAAAGAGAGUCGGCGGCUGGUGGAAGCCGAUGGGCAAGGCAUUGAAUUCCAUCCCGGAGCAGCCUGUGAUGAACAGGAACGGUAAAUACCGUUAAAUACUUGAGAGAGCAGUAUAUGCUGCUAAUUAGGGUGGCAACGCGGAAAACCUUUCGUCCCUUUA